This 434-nucleotide ribosomal RNA is filed under the name uncultured bacterium. Its description in RNAcentral is "bacterial SSU rRNA". It matches the Rfam family "Bacterial small subunit ribosomal RNA", at positions 957 to 1392 of the family's 1533-position model. The record is from RNAcentral.
UAACGCGAAGAACCUUACCAGGCCUUGACAUCCAAUGAACUUUCUAGAGAUAGAUUGGUGCCUUCGGGAACAUUGAGACAGGUGGUGCAUGGUUGUCGUCAGCUCGUGUCGUGAGAUGUUGGGUUAAGUCCCGCAACGAGCGCAACCCUUAUUACUAGUUACCAGCAUUAAGUUGGGCACUCUAGUGAGACUGCCGGUGACAAACCGGAGGAAGGUGGGGACGACGUCAAAUCAUCAUGCCCCUUAUGACCUGGGCUACACACGUGCUACAAUGGAUGGUACAACGAGUUGCGAGACCGCGAGGUUUAGCUAAUCUCUUAAAACCAUUCUCAGUUCGGAUUGUAGGCUGCAACUCGCCUACAUGAAGCCGGAAUCGCUAGUAAUCGCGGAUCAGCAUGCCGCGGUGAAUACGUUCCCGGGCCUUGUACACACCG